GAUGAACGCUGGCGGCGUGGAUAAGGCAUGCAAGUCAAACGGGUUCGCCCCGCAAGGGGUGGACCAGUGGCGAACGAGUUAGUAACACCUUGGUACGUACCCGAAAGUCAGGCAUAACUAUCCGAAAGGUUAGCUAAUUCCUGAUAGUAAGGCAACUUUAAAGUCGCAAGACGCUUUCGGAGCGGCCUAUGUCCUAUCAGCUUGUUGGUGAGGUAACGGCUCACCAAGGCAACGACGGGUAGGGGAUGUGAGAGCAUGAUCCCCAACGACGGUACUGAGACACGGACCGUACACCUACGGGUGGCAGCAGUCAAGAACAUUCGACAAUGGGCGAAAGCCUGAUCGAGCGACGCCGCGUGCAGGAAGAAGGGCUUCGGCCUGUGAGCGGCUUUUAUUAGGGAAAAAUUUUGAUUGUACCUAUUGAAUAAGGGGUUGCUAACCUCGUGCCAGCAGCAGCGGUAAUACGAGGACCCCGAGCGUUAUCCGGAAUUACUGGGCGUAAAGCGCGAGCAGCCGGCUCUGUUAGUCAGAUGUUAAAUCCCAUGGCUCAACUGUGGGGCCGCAUUUGAAACGGCAUAGCUGGAGCGGCUGAGAGGCACAUGGAACGUGAGGUGUAGGGGUGAAAUCCAUUGAUAUCUCACGGAACACCAAAAGCGAAGGCAGUGUGCUGGCGGUCUGCUGACGGUCAAUCGCGAAAGCGUGGGGAUCAAAAAGGAUUAGAUACCCUUGUAGUCCACGCCCUAAACUAUGCUGACUAGCUAUUGGGAGCAUCGACCCUUCCAGUGGCGAAGCUAACGCGUUAAGUCAGUCGCCUGGGAAGUACGAGCGCAAGCUUAAAACUCAAAGGAAUAGGCGGGAAUUCGCACAAGCAGUGGAUCAUGUGGUUCAAUUCGAUUCUAACCGAGGAACCUCACCAGGGCUUGAAAUCCAGAUGCAUGCUCUAGAAACAGAGCAGCCUUCGAGGGUUCUGGACAGGUGCUGCACGGCUGUCGUCAGCUCGUCAUGUGAAUGGUUUCCUUAAGUGGAUUAACGAGCGCAACCCCUACUGUCUGUUAUAUUUGUCAGGCGGGACUGCUCCGGUAACGGAGAGGAAGGUGGGGACGACGUCAAGUCAGCGUGGCCCUUUGAUGCCCUGGGCUACACACAUGAUACAAUGGACGUUACAAUGGGUUGCCAAGUCGCGAGGCGGAGCUAAUCCCAUCAAAAGCGUCCUCAGUUCGGAUUGGAGGCUGCAACUUGCCUCCAUGAAGCCGGAAUUGCUAGUAAUCGCAGAUCAGAACGCUGCGGUGAAUACGUUCUCGAAUUUUGCACUCACUGCCCGUCACUCCAAGGGAGCUGGUAAUACCCGAAGACCCGUAUUUUUAUAUGGAGCCACGGUAAGAUCAGUAAC
RNAcentral lists this ribosomal RNA (1390 nucleotides) under uncultured bacterium. RNAcentral's name for it is "16S ribosomal RNA". It matches the Rfam family "Bacterial small subunit ribosomal RNA". The record is from RNAcentral.